CUUGAGUAACUAUAAGAGGUCCAGCCUGCCCAGUGACUUUGUUCAACGGCCGCGGUAUCCUAACCGUGCGAAGGUAGCGUAAUCACUUGUCUUUUAAAUGGGGACUUGUAUGAACGGCAUCACGAGGGUUAUACUGUCUCCUUUUUCUAAUCAGUGAAACUAAUCUUCCCGUGAAGAAGCGGGAAUAAACAUAUAAGACGAGAAGACCCUAUGGAGCUUUAAACUCAAUAACAAAUACUGACCUUACAUCAACUUUCAGAAGAUUUACCUUAAUUUUAGUAUUAUGAUUAUUAGUUUUAGGUUGGGGUGACCGCGGAGUAAAAAUUAACCUCCACAUUGAACGGGACCUAUCCCUGAGCCAAGAACUACAGCUCAAAGCACCAACAAAUUGACAUUAAUUGACCCAAUAUUUUGAUCAACGAAC
RNAcentral lists this ribosomal RNA (424 nucleotides) under Osteocephalus oophagus group sp. ABGD cluster 12. Its description in RNAcentral is "partial large subunit ribosomal RNA". It matches the Rfam family "Bacterial large subunit ribosomal RNA", at positions 1834 to 2439 of the family's 2925-position model. Lineage: Eukaryota; Metazoa; Chordata; Amphibia; Anura; Hylidae. The record is from RNAcentral.